Molecule: transfer RNA, 81 nt
Filed under: Acidobacteriota bacterium
Lineage: Bacteria; Pseudomonadati; Acidobacteriota
Description: Acidobacteria bacterium tRNA-Ala
Source: RNAcentral
GGAGGUGUCCGCGCAUGUCUCGAGACAAGAAACUGAAUCGCACUCAGGAGGUCGUCGGUUCGAUCCCGAUCAGCUCCACCA